GGUGCAUCAUCGGUUAGUGAGACAUCUACACCUGAUAAAGAGUCUGUGAAUCGCAUCUGGAACAAAGGAGGAAAGCAAAUGAAAGGGAAAUUCAAGGGAAAACAACAUUCAGAAUGCAGUAAGGUGAAUAAACAGUGCUAUCGAUGUGGUAAUUCUGAUCACUUAGGGAGAGAUUUAAAAUGUCCCGGGAGAGGUCAGACAUGCCAUAAAUGUAAAGGACGAGACCAUUUCUCAAAAAUGUGUAAAACUAAAAAUGUAAAGCAGCAAACAGUAAACCAAGUUGAAGGUCAACCUGAAUAUGCAUUCGUCAUCUGUAGAAUGUGUUUCCCCUUAACACAUGGACUCUUCCAGUCACCCCUGUCAUCUAGUGUAAAAUGGACUAUUCCUGAACUUUCCAUCGGAGUUCGUGAAGUGACGGAGAAGAGAGAAGGUGGAUGAAAACGGGAAGGCAAACUGUCUGAAUAUUGUAGAUAGUUUGUAGAUUCAUAAGUAUUAGUCCAAAUUAGAGGAAUUUUAUAGUUUGUGCGUGUGCGUGCAUCACAACAACCACACAUCUAUGCACAUCUAAUAAAGACAAUUUGGAUUAUUUGAUUGAGACAUCAUUGUUCUGACCGGGCAAACUGUAGCCUUCACCCAAACCCGGACUAGCAAUAGAGUGCAGUCUAAGAAGAGUUUUCAUGGUCCUUCGAGCCGGAGGUGAAUUGUUACAGAGAUGUCUCAACCUGAGAAGGAAGUCCCCGUUGUGCGUCCACGAAGACGGAUUAACCCACCAGCUCAUCUAGUGGACUACGAGCUUGGUGAGCCAUUGCAGCAUCGACAGCCACUCCCAGGCCACAGUCAAAGCAGAGGACAGUCACCAAGUACAGUAGGACAUACCAGAUCGAGUUCUCCUGUUAGCCAAGAUUUAGAAUGUGAUAAAUGGACACUGAGAGACGAAUGGCCAAGUGCAUCUGACCAGCGUGGAGAAAAGGAAGUAGAGCUUACAGCCAUGUUGCAAGAGAUGAAACAAGAGAAUGCAGUACUACGACGACAAGCCAACCAGCUUCCAGAGAUUAUCUCAGCAUUACAGGAGAUGCGCCAUCAGAAUGCCAUGUUACAUCACGAACUUCAAAGUCUUAAGGCAGAAAAGGAAGCCCCCUCCAGGCCAGUGACUUUACCAGUCCCGUCUCCAAGUCCCUUUACUCCAAUGGUGAGCCCCGAGACCCCACAACGGUUCCGUCCGACUCCAGCCCCACGGACAAAGCCACCAACUCCGCCUACUGCCGUGAGAGACCUGCGCCCAGCUACAGUAGACGAGUACCCUGGAAUGGCCGAGGAUUUUAGUAACAUGGACAUUUCUUCCUCAAUGCCUGAGAGAGUACCACCACCAGUACAUUGCAGCGACCAUCCUCAACCCAGGUACUCUCGUUCCCCACAGCACAUUCCAUCCCAUCUGUCAGAGUUCAAGACUCCAGCACAUGAGCGGAUGCUGCCCGCUCACACAGACUACAGACAAGUUUAUUACCAGCCUCCAUCCACACAGGAAAAGAUGUACAGAGGCCCUGCUCCAACUAUCCCCUUUCUGACAGCCCCAGAUCCUAGAGAGUUCUCUAGACUGAGGAUAGCUCUAGAGAACAUUCUACCUGAGGAUGCAACAGAACAGUUCAAAUACCAAAUCCUCACUGACCACCUGAAACUGGAGGAAGCACUCCUUGUGGCGGACUCAUAUAGCAACUCAAGGUUCCCAUUCACAAAUACCAUGAGAGCCCUCAAUAAAAUGUAUGGCCAGCCCCACCAUCUAGCAUUACAGCGCAUUGCCGAAUUAAUGGAUGGUCCAAACAUUUGCAGUGGAGACGUGAAAGCUUUUCGGAUGUUUGGACUCCAGGUGCGCUCCCUGGUUAGUAUGCUGGAACAGCUGGGCCAGAAAG
Molecule: long non-coding RNA, 1907 nt
Organism: Cyprinus carpio carpio
Lineage: Eukaryota; Metazoa; Chordata; Actinopteri; Cypriniformes; Cyprinidae
Source: Ensembl